This 86-nucleotide small nucleolar RNA is filed under the name Sciurus vulgaris (Eurasian red squirrel). Its description in RNAcentral is "Small nucleolar RNA U3 (ENSSVLG00005006422.1)". It matches the Rfam family "Small nucleolar RNA U3", at positions 1 to 95 of the family's 219-position model. Rfam says of the family: Small nucleolar RNAs (snoRNAs) are involved in the processing and modification of rRNA in the nucleolus. There are two main classes of snoRNAs: the box C/D class, and the box H/ACA class. U3 snoRNA is a member of the box C/D class. The record is from Rfam by way of RNAcentral. Lineage: Eukaryota; Metazoa; Chordata; Mammalia; Rodentia; Sciuridae.
AAGACUAUACUUUUAGGGAUCAUUUCUAUAGUUUGGGAUUCAAAAAGUUUUGUUUAGUGGACCAACCUUUUUAUGAUGGGGGUAGG